This 253-nucleotide ribosomal RNA is filed under the name uncultured bacterium. RNAcentral's name for it is "partial 16S ribosomal RNA". It matches the Rfam family "Bacterial small subunit ribosomal RNA", at positions 524 to 776 of the family's 1533-position model. The record is from RNAcentral.
GACGUAGGGGACGAGCGUUGUCCGGAAUCACUGGGCGUAAAGCGCACGUAGGCGGAUUGCUAAGUCAGAGGUGAAAUCCUGGAGCUCAACUCCAGAACUGCCUUUGAUACUGGCGACCUUGAGUCCGGGAGAGGUGAGUGGAACUGCGAGUGUAGAGGUGAAAUUCGUAGAUAUUCGCAAGAACACCAGUGGCGAAGGCGGCUCACUGGCCCGAUACUGACGCUGAGGCACGAAAGCGUGGGGAGCAAACAGG